AAAAGAAUGUUUAUAAACUAUCUCCAUCAACCUACCUUUGGCGAAUCCAACACACUUAAAGGGUUAGGUAUAUAUAUAUAUUUAACUUACUUUUGCUAGAAACAAAAUCCUAACACCAGUAUUGUGUUAACAUUUUGUGCAACCUUCUUUACAGUUCAUCAUAAUCAGCGGACGCGCAUUGCAUGUGAGAUGUCUUCUUACCUCAAUACUCCUCAGCAGUUCUCAUCGUGACCUUUAGAAAUUUGAUGUGGACAAGCUUUAACACGGAACAGAAUUUGUUUUCUUGAACUGACGUUCAAUUAUCCUUGUGAUCAUGUGUUUGCUUUACAGUUUGUGAACCUCCUCCUUGCGAAUCAGAGCUUUCUGCUUGUGAGACUAGAUAGUCAAGUGCGACAACAAUAUCACUGAUGAUGGGGCGAAAACUGGCUUGCUCCUGGAUACACAUUGCAGUAAUUGCAACUGCAUGGUGCAAAGAGCGCACGGAAAACUGACCAUUCAACAAAGGAUCAACCAUAUGAACAAACUUUCUCCGGUCCUUGAGGAAAGGACGAGACCAAACAACUAGGUUCUGUUCUCCAGCCUCUUUAGAGUUGUCAUAAGCCUUUCGCCCUGUUAUUAACUCCAACAGCACAACACCUAAACUAUAGAUGUCAGAUUUCAGAGUCAAUUUUCCACUCAUGGCAUACUCAGGGGCACAGU
This 699-nucleotide unclassified non-coding RNA is filed under the name Hevea brasiliensis (rubber tree). The record is from RNAcentral. Lineage: Eukaryota; Viridiplantae; Streptophyta; Magnoliopsida; Malpighiales; Euphorbiaceae.